GCUGCUGUGUUUGAGCAAACGCACUGAGCCAAAGUUCCCUGACAAGGUAAUCAGUCGGCCGCUCUGCCUGAAAUAAUCUCAGUCCUGACUGAGCUGCAUUAAUAAAGAAGAUAUGUUCAAGGUUAUUACUGCGUAUAUAGGCGUUGCACUACUUUAUUCGACUAAGAGGGAAAGUCAGUGUAAAUUGUUGUCGGAGAGAAAUAUGAGAACCGCAUGCCACUUCUCUCUCAUCAUCCUCCUCCUCAACCUGACUCUGUGAUAUCAUAAAACCUGACAACCGGUGUGUUACCGGACAAUGUAUAGACGUGCUGCCCAGGCGGUCGGCUCCUGCUGGUGCUUCUGCAGAUUAGCCAUGAGGAGACACACGAGACACACGAAUGCCUCAACCGAGUGCUGCCCCCGGAGCCCCGUGCGGAUUAUAAUGAAGACACAAUAUCUACGUGGCCAUGGACCUGCUGGCCCCUUCUCUCAUCAAGCCGGUUUGGGCGAUGUUCCAGACGCACAAAACACAGCCAGCUUGGGGAGGCAGCCUUAAUCACUCCCUCCCAGAGGCGCUGCGUGAAGAUUCCUCUGUCCGGAUCCCGCUGUCCCCGUUCUGACCUGCUGUGCCGCCGGCCUCCGUCCCUCUGGCGUCCUGACCCCGCUGUCCCCUUCCCUUGAAAUCCGCAUUCAUUAAA
Gasterosteus aculeatus aculeatus (three-spined stickleback) is the source of this 677-nucleotide non-coding RNA. NCBI's taxonomy places the organism in Eukaryota, Metazoa, Chordata, Actinopteri, Perciformes, Gasterosteidae. The record is from RefSeq and is a predicted model, not a curated record.